This 3012-nucleotide long non-coding RNA is filed under the name Olea europaea subsp. europaea. Lineage: Eukaryota; Viridiplantae; Streptophyta; Magnoliopsida; Lamiales; Oleaceae. The record is from RNAcentral.
CCCACUUUGCACCGUUUUUUUUUUUUUGCCAACCCAAACGACAUCCAUUUGACUUGAAUUUUGGAUAUGUGCUAGAAUAGUAUGGACACUUUCAUAUGCCCAGCGUUCAGUCUGGAAAAUUUCAGUUUUCUAGGCGAUGCCCGGCGCUGAAAGUUCUAGUUUGGUCAUGGGUCACUUCUAUCAAAGUGUAUGUUUUGAGCUAAUUUUUGUUGGUGUUUCACAUUCCUUUGAUACUACCACUAGCUUGGAACAUGUUUCAUGCAUUUUACACAUCAUCGUCAAGUACAUGUAUUUUGAAGCACAUUUGAGGGAUUUGUGCAAUGCAUACUUUAUUUUCUCACUCCAUGCGUAUUCUUUUCACAUUAAACUUAAUGAGUGUAGUUUUACAAACUUUGCAGGAUGCCUCCUCAGAGGACUUCGCACAGGAAAGAAAAUCAGGCUCCUCCAUUGGGACAGCCUGUACUCGAGAGCUCGCGGGAGAAGUUCAGCGAUUCUUAACUGCAACUACCGUGGCACGAUAUGAAAACAUCGUACGCCAUUAGACUUUACAUGCUGAAAAACCCGUUAAGCUUGAUGACUUCCCAAGUUUUGAGUUGGUCAACUUUGUUCAGAUCUGUGGGUGGCAAAAGUUGGUGGAGAGACCACAUCCACUCUAUGAGACUUUAUGCCGAGAGUUCUUCGCCAACUUCAACAGUGACAUUGAUACGCCAGGCUCCGAGCAUUUCCAUCAGACUUGGGUGCAGGAAAAAUGGAUUAUGUUCUCUCCCGAGGUCAUUCAUAAUUACUACCAGCUUACCAUAGAGAAUGUGAUUCCUCUCCCAAUUGACUUUCACUGGAAUGAAGUGGCUGAGGUUUUAAUGGGGCGAGAGAAUGCAUGGCCCCUCGAAACUACCAAGUGGCAUCAGAUUGAGUUUAUCCCUUCCAUAGCGAUUCUAUGGCUCUUUAUGUGCCACAAUAUCGAGCCCAUAUCACACAGGACUACAUUCCCAGAUCAGACAUCAGGAUUCAUCUACCACUUGGCUCAGGGCAACAAGAUUGAUCUCACUACUCAUAUAUACAAUCAACUACACUCAUUGGGAACUUGGAGAGAUCGUCGCUUUACUUUGAUAUUCCCGAGCCUCAUUAGUGGCAUAUGUCAGGCUGCGGGUGUUGCCCUCUUACUUGAGGAGUUACCUGAAAAAUCCAGCCUCGUGAUCAAACGAACUACAUUUGACGCUCAGACAAAACACAGAGAAGAGCAAGAAAAUGAGCGACGUAGACAGCAGGUAGAACAAGGCCAAAUCCCUUCAGAUCAGGAACACCCACGGGCUCCAGCACCACAAGCUGACGUGGAUAAUCAAUUGCUAAGACAGAUAUUCUCCACCACUACAGGCAUUAGCCGAGACUUUCACAGUUUCUUUCAAGAUUUUGGCAACAUGACGAUUGAAUUGAGAAGUUUACAAAGAGACAAUCACCUUGCGUUGAACUAUAUUAGAGAUGUCAGGGAUCAUGCUACAGUCAUGCGACGGGAGGUUGAUACCAUGAAUGGUCGGCUGAACAUGUAUGUUGGUCGGGUGGACGGUAUCCAAAUGAGGGUCAAUGAAACUUGGGAGAGCAUGAGAGCUAUCUAGGCCGAGCAGACACAACAGUCUACCUUGAUGCGGGAACUGAGUGAGAUGAUGCGGCAGCUCCUUGGACGAUACCCUCCUCUGCCAGAUGAUGGUACAGCAGGACCCAGUUUUCCGCCACCUCAUCCAUUUUGAUUCAAGGGAAGUAUUAUUUACCACAUUUUGAUUUUCCCUUUUAUGUUGUCCGUAAAAUUCUAUCUUUAAUUUUCUGUUAAUUUUACAUUGAGGACAAUGUAGUAACAAAGUUUGGGGAGGUGACAUAAUUUUAUAAUUUUAACUAAGUAUUUGUGUUCAUCGGUAUCUGUAUUCCACAGUGUGUGCAUAAUGAAAAAAAAUUACCUAUGCAUUUUAUUUAGUUUUGCUUUAAUUCUUUUCAUGCAUGCUUGUGUGGGCUUGAUAACCUUACUAGCUAUGAUGUUAUAAUUGGACUAGUUUAAAUUGUAAAAACGUUGGAUCUGAUGCAACUAUGCUAACUGACACUUGUUGAUGCAAAAUUUGACAUUAUCUGUGCACACUAUUCAUGCUUGACAUGUUAGAUAAAUGAUUGGAUUUUGAGCAUAAAAUAGGAAAAGAAUGAUAACCUCCUAUUGAAUUAAACCGUAAACUGCCUUAAGACAGUUUGGUGAUGGUUGAGCUAUUGUAAAGGAGCGUUGAGAUGAGAGGAGGUUCCGUGCAUAAAUUUUAUUGUGUGGAUUAUCUAGACCAGUGAGGUGAAGAUUAGGUGAAAAUCUUAAAUUAAGGGUUAGUUUUGGAAACUAAAUGUCUAGAACAAUAAGGGCAUAAAAUAAAUUUGUGAGAACAAUACACUUCUUUUCAUGCCUUUAUGACUCGAGCAAGUAAGCCUGUAAAAAUAUUUCAAAAUCUGGUGCCCUAAAGUCAACUGGCUUGGGAGUCACCGGCCUAAAACUCGCUAAAAGGGUCAUAUAGAAAGCAAGAGGGAAAGAGGUUAAUAGAAAGUCAUCAGAUCGAGCCUUUAUAACUCGAGUGAAUAAGCCUACAAGGGUUUAAAAUCUGGUGCCCUAAAGCCAACUGGUUUGGGAGUCACCGGUCUAAAACUCGUUACAUGGGUUAUAUAAAAAGCAAAUGAGAAGAUUAAAAUAAAAAAAAAUGAGUAGCUUAAUAAUAAAAUCAGAAAAAUUAGAGAAAAGAGAGAUGAUAACAUGAAGAAAAGCCCUUGGACAUUUGGUUAAAGAAACUAUUCCUUUGAAGCAAGGCAAGUAUCCUAGUUUAAUCUUGAGUGUCGAAGCGAUCAAACUUAGGAAAGCCUUCACUUAUUGAAAUGUAAAUUUGUGAUAGUGGGAUUAAUCCAAACUACGAGAGGGUGAAGACUACAGCUAUGUAAAUUCCUAAUUUUAAAAUACAAUCCUGGGAUAAUUGAGUGAAAAAAAAAAAACAUAAGUUUGGG